AGACAGUAGAGUAAAGCCUUAUCUACUGAGUCUCUCUGUCUCGAGGUAGACAGUAGAGUAAAGCCUUAUCUACUGAGUCUCUCUGUCUCGAGGUAGACAGUAGAGUAAAGCCUUAUCUACUGAGUCUCUAUGUCUCGAGGUAGACAGUAGAGUAAAGCCUUAUCUACUGAGUCUCUCUGUCUCGAGGUAGACAGUAGAGUAAAGCCUUAUCUACUGAGUCUCUCUGUCUCGAGGUAGACAGUAGAGUAAAGCCUUAUCUACUGAGUCUCUAUGUCUCGAGGUAGACAGUAGAGUAAAGCCUUAUCUACUGAGUCUCUCUGUCUCGAGGUAGACAGUAGAGUAAAGCCUUAUCUACUGAGUCUCUCUGUCUCGAGGUAGACAGUAGAGUAAAGCCUUAUCUACUGAGUCUCUCUGUCUCGAGGUAGACAGUAGAGUAAAGCCUUAUCUACUGAGUCUCUAUGUCUCGAGGUAGACAGUAGAGUAAAGCCUUAUCUACUGAGUCUCUAUGUCUCGAGGUAGACAGUAGAGUAAAACCUUAUCUACUGAGUCUCUCUGUCUCGAGGUAGACAGUAGAGUAAAGCCUUAUCUACUGAGUCUCUAUGUCUCGAGGUAGACAGUAGAGUAAAGCCUUAUCUACUGAGUCCCAAGGUAUUCAGCUCUAUGUCUCGAGGUAGACAGUAGAGUAAAGCCUUAUCUACUGAGUCCCAAGGUAUUCAGCUCUAUGUCUCAAGGUAGACAGUAGAGUAAAGCCUUAUCUACUGAGUCUCUCUGUCUCGAGGUAGACAGUAGAGUAAAGCCUUAUCUACUGAG
Molecule: long non-coding RNA, 810 nt
Organism: Oncorhynchus keta (chum salmon)
Lineage: Eukaryota; Metazoa; Chordata; Actinopteri; Salmoniformes; Salmonidae
Exons: 4
Source: RefSeq, a predicted model, not a curated record